Sinocyclocheilus rhinocerous is the source of this 141-nucleotide small nuclear RNA. Its record names the gene U4. It matches the Rfam family "U4 spliceosomal RNA". Rfam says of the family: U4 small nuclear RNA (U4 snRNA) is a component of the major U2-dependent spliceosome. The structure of U4 snRNA from yeast and human has been reported. NCBI's taxonomy places the organism in Eukaryota, Metazoa, Chordata, Actinopteri, Cypriniformes, Cyprinidae. The record is from Ensembl.
AUUCUUUCGCAGAGGCAAUAUUGUAGUUUAUGAGGUACAUCUGAUGCGCGAUUAUUGCUGGUUGAAAACUUUAUCCAAUACCCCACCAGGAUGACUUGAAAUACAGUCAGCCUUGGCAAUUUUUGCCAGCUUCACUGGAAG